This 804-nucleotide ribosomal RNA is filed under the name uncultured bacterium. RNAcentral's name for it is "bacterial SSU rRNA". It matches the Rfam family "Bacterial small subunit ribosomal RNA", at positions 555 to 1364 of the family's 1533-position model. The record is from RNAcentral.
UGGGCGUAAAGGGUCGCAGGCGGAAUAACAAGUCAGAUGUGAAAGGCAUGGGCUCAACCCAUGUAAGCAUUUGAAACUGUAAUUCUUGAGAAGUGGAGAGGUAAGUGGAAUUCCUAGUGUAGCGGUGAAAUGCGUAGAUAUUAGGAGGAAUACCUGUGGCGAAGGCGACUUACUGGACACAAAUCUGACGCUGAGGAACGAAAGCGUGGGUAGCAAACAGGAUUAGAUACCCUGGUAGUCCACGCCGUAAACGAUGAGUGCUAGGUGUCGGGGGAGACCUCGGUGCCGGCGUUAACACAAUAAGCACUCCGCCUGGGGAGUACGUGCGCAAGCAUGAAACUCAAAGGAAUUGACGGGGACCCGCACAAGCAGCGGAGCAUGUGGUUUAAUUCGACGCAACGCGAAGAACCUUACCAGGGCUUGACAUACUGAGGACGUACUUAGAGAUAAGUAUUCUUCUUCGGAAGCCUCAAUACAGGUGGUGCAUGGUUGUCGUCAGCUCGUGUCGUGAGAUGUUCAGUUAAGUCUGGCAACGAGCGCAACCCUUACCUUUAGUUACCAGCAUUUCGGAUGGGAACUCUAAAGGGACUGCCGAUGAUAAAUCGGAGGAAGGUGGGGAUGACGUCAAAUCAUCAUGCCCUAUAUGCCCUGGGCUACACACGUGCUACAAUGGUCGGAACAGAGGGAAGCAACAGAGCGAUCUCAAGCGAAUCUCAUAAAUCCGAUCCCAGUUCGGAUUGCACUCUGCAACUCGAGUGCAUGAAGUCGGAGUUGCUAGUAAUCGCAGAUCAGCAUGCUGCGGUG